GUUGCGGUGGCCGAGCGGUUACGGCGUUGGACUAGAAAUCCAAUGGGAUCUUCCCGCGCAGGUUCGAGUCCUGCCGGCAACG
RNAcentral lists this transfer RNA (82 nucleotides) under Nematostella vectensis (starlet sea anemone). It matches the Rfam family "tRNA". From Rfam's summary of the family: Transfer RNA (tRNA) molecules are approximately 80 nucleotides in length. The record is from Rfam by way of RNAcentral. Lineage: Eukaryota; Metazoa; Cnidaria; Anthozoa; Actiniaria; Edwardsiidae.